RNAcentral lists this ribosomal RNA (1480 nucleotides) under uncultured prokaryote. RNAcentral's name for it is "partial 16S ribosomal RNA". It matches the Rfam family "Bacterial small subunit ribosomal RNA". The record is from RNAcentral.
GAGUUUGAUCCUGGCUCAGGAUGAACGCUAGCGGCAGGCCUAAUACAUGCAAGUCGAACGGUAACAUUGGUGCUUGCACCAGAUGACGAGUGGCGCACGGGUGCGUAACGCGUAUGCAAUCUACCUUUUACUAGAGUAUAGCCCAGAGAAAUUUGGAUUAAUCCUCUAUAAUAUCUUUAAGUUUCAUGACUUUUAGAUUAAAGUUUUAACGGCUAGAGAUGAGCAUGCGUCCUAUUAGUUUGUUGGUGAGGUAACGGCUCACCAAGACUACGAUAGGUAGGGGGCCUGAGAGGGUGAUCCCCCACACUGGUACUGAGACACGGACCAGACUCCUACGGGAGGCAGCAGUGAGGAAUAUUGGACAAGGGGCGCAAGCCUGAUCCAGCCAUGCCGCGUGCAGGAUGACUGCCCUAUGGGUUGUAAACUGCUUUUAUACAGGAAGAAACACCUCUACGUGUAGAGGCUUGACGGUACUGUAAGAAUAAGGAUCGGCUAACUCCGUGCCAGCAGCCGCGGUAAUACGGAGGAUCCAAGCGUUAUCCGGAAUCAUUGGGUUUAAAGGGUCCGUAGGUGGAUAAUUAAGUCAGAGGUGAAAUCUUGCAGCUCAACUGUAAAAUUGCCUUUGAUACUGGUUAUCUUGAGUUAUUAUGAAGUAGUUAGAAUAUGUAGUGUAGCGGUGAAAUGCAUAGAUAUUACAUAGAAUACCAAUUGCGAAGGCAGAUUACUAAUAAUAUACUGACACUGAUGGACGAAAGCGUGGGUAGCGAACAGGAUUAGAUACCCUGGUAGUCCACGCCGUAAACGAUGGAUACUAGCUGUUCGGAUUUAUCUGAGUGGCUAAGCGAAAGUGAUAAGUAUCCCACCUGGGGAGUACGUUCGCAAGAAUGAAACUCAAAGGAAUUGACGGGGGCCCGCACAAGCGGUGGAGCAUGUGGUUUAAUUCGAUGAUACGCGAGGAACCUUACCAGGGCUUAAAUGUAGAUUGACAGGACUAGAGAUAGUUUUUCCUUCGGGCAAUUUACAAGGUGCUGCAUGGUUGUCGUCAGCUCGUGCCGUGAGGUGUCGGGUUAAGUCCCAUAACGAGCGCAACCCCUAUCCUUAGUUGCCAGCGAGUAAUGUCGGGGACUCUAAGGAAACUGCCGGCGUAAGCCGAGAGGAAGGUGGGGAUGACGUCAAAUCAUCACGGCCCUUACGCCCUGGGCUACACACGUGCUACAAUGGUCGGUACAGAGGGCAGCAACCUAGUGAUAGGAAGCGAAUCUCCAAAACCGAUCUCAGUUCGGAUCGAAGUCUGCAACUCGACUUCGUGAAGCUGGAAUCGCUAGUAAUCGCGCAUCAGCCAUGGCGCGGUGAAUACGUUCCCGGGCCUUGUACACACCGCCCGUCAAGCCAUGGAAGUUGGGGGUACCUGAAGUCGGUAACCGCAAGGAGCCGCCUAGGGUAAAUCUAGUAACUAGGGCUAAGUCGUAACAAGGUAACC